GACAGAGGUGCCGAGCGUUAGGCGGAAUCACUGGGCUUAAAGCGUGUGUAGGCGGACCGUUAAGUACCUUGUGAAAUCCCACGGCUCACCCGUGGAACGGCUGGGUAUACUGGCGGUCUUGGGCCACCUAGGGGCAGAUGGAACAGACGGUGGAGCGGUGAAAUGCGUAGAUAUCGUCUGGAACGCCGAUGGUGAAAACAGUCUGCUGGGGGUGUGCCGACGCUGAGACACGAAAGCCAGGGGAGCGAACGGG
Molecule: ribosomal RNA, 253 nt
Filed under: uncultured bacterium
Lineage: Bacteria
Description: partial 16S ribosomal RNA
Rfam family: Bacterial small subunit ribosomal RNA
Source: RNAcentral